Molecule: ribosomal RNA, 840 nt
Filed under: Triticum aestivum (bread wheat)
Lineage: Eukaryota; Viridiplantae; Streptophyta; Magnoliopsida; Poales; Poaceae
Description: partial small subunit ribosomal RNA
Source: RNAcentral
AUGAAGCCCGAGGAUGAGCACAAAACCGCCUUCAAGACGCACCACGACCAUUUCGAGUUCCAGGUUCUUUCCUAUGGACUAACCGGCGGUCCAGCGACCUUCCAAGGGGGAAUGAACAUUGUUUUGGCACCGGUCAACCGAAAAGAAGUCUUGGUUUUCAUUGAUGACAUCCUGAUCCACAGCGCCACUCUGGAACGACACAUCCAGCUCAUGCGGCAAGUGUUCGAGCUACUUGACGAACACCAACUAAAGAUUAAGUUAAGCAAGUGUUCAUUUGCCAGAACCAGUCUCACCUAUCUGGGACACGAAAUCAGUGAAGAAGGAGUUCAGACAGACGGCAAGAAUGUGGCGACAGUUCAGAAAUGGCCAACCCCGGCAAAUGUCAAGGAGGUGCGCGGGUUUCUUGGAUUAGCAGGUUACUACCGCAAGUUCGUCAAGAACUUUGGCAUCAUCAGCCGGCCGCUCACGGAUCUGCUCAAGAAGAACACAAUCUUUAGAUGGACUGAGCUCGAAGCCGCAACGUUCCAAGAGCUCAAAACUGCAUUAGUCACUGCUCCUGUGUUGGCCCUGCCGGAUUUCUCGAAGCCAUUCGAGCUCGAAACAGAUGCCUCAGACCGAGGCAUUGGAGCAGUGUUGCGCCAGGGCAACCACCCAGUGGUGUUUCUCAACAAAGCAUUGGGUCCCAAGAACCGUGCCUUGUCCACUUAUGAAAAAGAAGGGUUGGCAAUCCUUAUGGCAGUUGAGCAAUGGCGUAUUUACCUACAGAGUGAAGAGUUCGUGAUCCAUACAGACCAAUGCAGCCUGGUACACCUCGAAGAUCAGCGCUUGGCUACACCCUGA